This 972-nucleotide long non-coding RNA is filed under the name Capsicum annuum. RNAcentral describes it as "long non-coding RNA (CANN_LNC015147)". Lineage: Eukaryota; Viridiplantae; Streptophyta; Magnoliopsida; Solanales; Solanaceae. The record is from RNAcentral.
AAACAUAUACAUACAGUGCAAAUAAUUUUCUCCAUGGACGCGUAUACCACAUAGGGGAUUUACUGAAAUUUGCACUAUACACUCACAGACUACAUAAAAAUAGGUCUCCAUUGUUAAACACGCACACACCGACUCCCAUUCGCAUAGCAAAUCGCACACACGUAUACACACUUUGAGAAGAAGAUCGAGAAUCAAGAUGUUUUGAGAGAUCCGAGGGUUUUUGUUAGAUUUUCGGUGAAAAUUUUGGCGGAAUUGAUUGUUCAGUUAGUAUAUCUAGUCCCGAGAUCUCCGAAAUUAGUGUAAUCGGUGUACAGUUCAUCUAUUUGACAGAUCCAGUCUGAAAUCCCCAAAAUUUUCUCUUUUUGCCUAUGGUUUCUAGCUGAAUCUGGCCGGCAUCGAAGCGUUUCUUUGAUGAUCUCACCGGAAUCCGCUACCACACAAUGUAUUAACCACUAUCGACCAUGAAAAUCACCCCUCUCACCUCUAAAAAUGCAAGGCAAUAACUGGAACCAGUUGAAAUAGAUAUUUUAUUUGAUUCUGUUGAGAUUUGGGUUGACUCCGGUUUAAUUUCGAUGCGGGUUUUCUUGGUUCUUCAUAAUUUCUGUAUCGAUUGGUUUAAUAUUUCUUCUUCAACCUAUUUGGGGUUGAUUCUGGGAUCAAAUCUGUCUAGAUCUUUAUUUUUCGGUUUUGAGUUUGGAGUUUUAUUUGCUUUCAAGGUUUGAAUCGGGUUUUCUAGCGUGAUUUUAUCUCUGAUAUAUUGAAAUCGACAUUUGAGGUCCAAUUCUUUGACUCUCUGUUUUUGUCUUGUUUUGAUUUAGUGCAUUGAUGUUAUGAUUGUGUGUUGUUGGUUGUGAUUAGAUGAUCUUUGUUGAUGUUUGAUUUUGUUUAUCCAUGAAUAAUUAAUCAUGGUAUGAACUUGAUGUUAGCAUGGAUUUGGAUAAUUACUUUGUCUAAAAUUGAUGUAUAAAAGAG